RNAcentral lists this ribosomal RNA (423 nucleotides) under Hyalinobatrachium sp. Pacaas ABGD cluster 19. RNAcentral's name for it is "partial large subunit ribosomal RNA". It matches the Rfam family "Bacterial large subunit ribosomal RNA", at positions 1834 to 2439 of the family's 2925-position model. The record is from RNAcentral. Lineage: Eukaryota; Metazoa; Chordata; Amphibia; Anura; Centrolenidae.
CUUGAAUAAAUAUAAGAGGUCCAGCCUGCCCAGUGACCAUGUUCAACGGCCGCGGUAUCCUAACCGUGCGAAGGUAGCGUAAUCACUUGUUCUUUAAAUAAGGACUGGUAUGAACGGCACCACGAAGGUUGCACUGUCUCCUUUUUCUAAUCAGUGAAACUAAUCUCCCCGUGAAGAAGCGGGGAUAAUAACAUAAGACGAGAAGACCCUAUGGAGCUUUAAACUAUAAGGCAAUUGCCCCAUUCAAUCAAAUUUCAGAAAAUUUCCACUACCAAAGCAAUUUUGACCCCUAGUUUUAGGUUGGGGUGACCGCGGAGCAAAAAACAACCUCCACAUUGAAAGGAACCCACUCCUUAGCCGAGAGCCACACCUCUACGCACCAACAAAAAGACAUCAAUUGACCCAAUAUUUUGAUCAACGAAC